RNAcentral lists this ribosomal RNA (492 nucleotides) under uncultured bacterium. RNAcentral describes it as "partial 16S ribosomal RNA". It matches the Rfam family "Bacterial small subunit ribosomal RNA", at positions 29 to 507 of the family's 1533-position model. The record is from RNAcentral.
AGUGAACGCUGGCGGUAGGCCUAACACAUGCAAGUCGAACGGCAGCACAGUAAGAGCUUGCUCUUACGGGUGGCGAGUGGCGGACGGGUGAGGAAUACACCGGAAUCUACUUUUUCGUGGGGGAUAACGUAGGGAAACUUACGCUAAUACCGCAUACGACCUACGGGUGAAAGCAGGGGAUCCUCGGACCUUGCGCGAUUGAAUGAGCCGAUGUCGGAUUAGCUAGUUGGCGGGGUAAAGGCCCACCAAGGCGACGAUCCGUAGCUGGUCUGAGAGGAUGAUCAGCCACACUGGAACUGAGACACGGUCCAGACUCCUACGGGAGGCAGCAGUGGGGAAUAUUGGACAAUGGGCGCAAGCCUGAUCCAGCCAUACCGCGUGGGUGAAGAAGGCCUUCGGGUUGUAAAGCCCUUUUGUUGGGAAAGAAAAGCAGCAGGUUAAUACCCCGCUGUUCUGACGGUACCCAAAGAAUAAGCACCGGCUAACUUCGUG